GCAAAGAGCACACAUUCAAUCUCUCUCUCUCUCUCUCUCUCUCUCUCUAUGUGUGUGUGUGUGUGUGUGUGUGAGAGAGAGAGAGAGAGAGAGAGAGAGAGAGAGAGAUGUUGUGGAUGGACAUAUCCA
RNAcentral lists this microRNA precursor (129 nucleotides) under Podarcis lilfordi (Lilford's wall lizard). Lineage: Eukaryota; Metazoa; Chordata; Lepidosauria; Squamata; Lacertidae. The record is from RNAcentral.